This 253-nucleotide ribosomal RNA is filed under the name uncultured Parabacteroides sp. Its description in RNAcentral is "partial 16S ribosomal RNA". It matches the Rfam family "Bacterial small subunit ribosomal RNA", at positions 524 to 776 of the family's 1533-position model. Lineage: Bacteria; Pseudomonadati; Bacteroidota; Bacteroidia; Bacteroidales; Tannerellaceae. The record is from RNAcentral.
UACGGAGGAUCCGAGCGUUAUCCGGAUUUAUUGGGUUUAAAGGGAGCGUAGGUGGAUUGUUAAGUCAGCGGUGAAAGUUUGUGGCUCAACCAUAAAAUUGCCGUUGAAACUGGAAGACUUGAGUGUGUUUGAGGUAGGCGGAAUGCGUGGUGUAGCGGUGAAAUGCAUAGAUAUCACGCAGAACCCCGAUUGCGAAGGCAGCAUACCGGCGCCCGACUGACGCUGAGGCACGAAAGCGUGGGUAUCGAACAGG